GACGAACGCUGGCGGCGUGCUUAACACAUGCAAGUCGAACGAUGAAGCCGGAGCUUGCUCUGGUGAAUUAGUGGCGAACGGGUGAGUAACACGUGAGUAACCUGCCCUUGACUCUGGGAUAACUGCUAGAAAUGGUAGCUAAUACCGGAUACGACCCUCGGCGGCAUCGCCAGGGGGUGGAAAGAAUUUCGGUCAAGGAUGGACUCGCGGCCUAUCAGCUAGUUGGUGAGGUAACGGCGCACCAAGGCGACGACGGGUAGCCGGCCUGGGAGGGUGACCGGCCACACUGGGACUGAGACACGGCCCAGACUCCUACGGGAGGCAGCAGUGGGGAAUAUUGCACAAUGGGCGCAAGCCUGAUGCAGCAACGCCGCGUGAGGGAUGACGGCCUUCGGGUUGUAAACCUCUUUUAGUAGGGAAGAAGCGAAAGUGAUGGUACCUGCAGAAAAAGCACCGGCUAACUACGUGCCAGCCGCCGCCGUAA
Molecule: ribosomal RNA, 484 nt
Filed under: uncultured bacterium
Lineage: Bacteria
Description: partial 16S ribosomal RNA
Rfam family: Bacterial small subunit ribosomal RNA
Source: RNAcentral